RNAcentral lists this ribosomal RNA (264 nucleotides) under uncultured bacterium. RNAcentral's name for it is "partial 16S ribosomal RNA". It matches the Rfam family "Bacterial small subunit ribosomal RNA", at positions 793 to 1055 of the family's 1533-position model. The record is from RNAcentral.
GUCCACGCCCUAAACGAUGUCAACUGGUUGUUGGGAGGGUUUCUUCUCAGUAACGAAGCUAACGCGUGAAGUUGACCGCCUGGGGAGUACGGCCGCAAGGUUUAAACUCAAAGGAAUUGACGGGGACCCGCACAAGCUGUGGAUGAUGUGGUUUAAUUCGAUGCAACGCGAAAAACCUUACCUACCCUUGACAUGUCUGGAAUCCUGAAGAGAUUUGGGAGUGCUCGAAAGAGAGCCAGAACACAGGUGCUGCAUGGCUGUCGU